GUCGAGCGAGAACCCGCAAGGGGGACAGCGGCAAAAGGGGUAGUAAGGCGUAGGUAACGUACCCUCGGGACGGGGAUAGCCACGGGAAACUGUGGGUAAUACCCGAUGACCUCAUCGGACGUGACUGUCUGGUGAGCAAAGGUGAGAUUCCACCCGGGGAGCGGCUUACGUGGUAUUAGCUAGUUGGUGAGGUAACGGCUCACCAAGGCGAAGAUGCCUAGGGGGUGUGAGAGCACGACCCCCACCAUUGGGACUGAGACACUGCCCAGACACCUACGGGUGGCUGCAGUCGAGAAUCUUCGGCAAUGGGCGAAAGCCUGACCGAGCGACGCCGCGUGCGGGAUGAAGGCCUUCGGGUUGUAAACCGCUGUCAGAGGGGAUGAACUGCGGAGAGGUACUCCUCUCCGUUUGACAGAGCCUCAGAGGAAGCACGGGCUAAGUAUGUGCCAGCAGCCGCGGUAAUACAUACUGUGCGAACGUUAUUCGGAAUCACUGGGCUUAAAGGGUGCGUAGGCGGCUUGCUAAGUAGGGUGUGAAAUCCCCCAGCUCAACUGGGGAACUGCGCUCUAAACUGGCGAGCUGGAGUGAGAUAGGGGUGCAUGGAACUUCCAGUGGAGCGGUGAAAUGUGUUGAUAUUGGAAGGAACGCCGGAGGCGAAAGCGAUGCACUGGAUCUCAACUGACGCUGAGGCACGAAAGCC
RNAcentral lists this ribosomal RNA (700 nucleotides) under uncultured bacterium. Its description in RNAcentral is "bacterial SSU rRNA". It matches the Rfam family "Bacterial small subunit ribosomal RNA", at positions 61 to 761 of the family's 1533-position model. The record is from RNAcentral.